AAGAACGAAAGUUAGAUGAUCGAAGGCGAUCAGAUACCGCCCUAGUUCUAACCGUAAACUAUGCUAACUGGCGAUCCGUCUGCGUCAUUCCCACGACCAGGCGGGCAGCCCCCGGGAAACCAAAGUUUUUGAGUUCCGGGGGGAGUAUGGUUGCAAAGCUGAAACUUAAAGGAAUUGACGGAAGGGCACCACCAGGAGUGGAGCCUGCGGCUUAAUUUGACUCAACACGGGAAACCUCACCAGGCCCGGACACCGGAAGGAUUGACAGAUUAAGAGCUCUUUCUCGAUUCGGUGGUUGGUGGUGCAUGGCCGUUCUUAGUUGGUGGAGCGAUUUGUCUGGUUGAUUCCGAUAACGAACGAGACUCUGCCUUACUAACUAGUCGUUGGAUGGUCUCUCGCAUCGGGCUUAGCCGGCGGUUAAGGCGUCUUCGCGCGCUCCCGCGGGGUCUGGCGGCGUGGGGUUACGUGGCGUUGUUCGACAGCCGUUUGCGCGGGUGGGUUUCCCAUUUCGCGUUUGCGGUUCCCUCGGCUUCGUCGCGCCCUCGUCCCGCCCGCGUUUCGAGUCGCGAGGUGCUGCGUCGAUCUCGGUGCGAGGGCGUCUUUGGCAAUUCUUCUUAGAGGCAUCGGCGGUGUCCCAGCCGUAAGAAAAAGAGCGAUAACAGGUCUGUGAUGCCC
RNAcentral lists this ribosomal RNA (675 nucleotides) under Cancrion carolinus. RNAcentral's name for it is "SSU rRNA". It matches the Rfam family "Eukaryotic small subunit ribosomal RNA", at positions 979 to 1472 of the family's 1831-position model. Lineage: Eukaryota; Metazoa; Arthropoda; Malacostraca; Isopoda; Entoniscidae. The record is from RNAcentral.